AUGGCUCAGGAUGAACGCUAGCGACAGGCUUAACACAUGCAAGUCGAGGGGCAGCAUAGAAGUAGCAAUACUUGGUGGCGACCGGCGCACGGGUGAGUAACGCGUAUGCAACCUACCUAUCGAGGGGGGAAUAACCCGGCGAAAGUCGGACUAAUACCGCAUAAAACAGGGGCACCGCAUGGUGAUAUUUGUUAAAGAAAUUCGCUGAUAGAUGGGCAUGCGUUCCAUUAGGUAGUUGGUGAGGUAACGGCUCACCAAGCCGACGAUGGAUAGGGGAACUGAGAGGUUGGUCCCCCACACUGGUACUGAGACACGGACCAGACUCCUACGGGAGGCAGCAGUGAGGAAUAUUGGUCAAUGGGCGGGAGCCUGAACCAGCCAAGUCGCGUGAAAGGAAGAAGGAUCUAUGGUUCGUAAACUUCUUUUGCAGGGGAAUAAAGUGCAGGACGUGUCCUGUUUUGUAUGUACCCUGAGAAUAAGGAUCGGCUAACUCCGUGCCAGCAGCAGC
Molecule: ribosomal RNA, 508 nt
Filed under: uncultured bacterium
Lineage: Bacteria
Description: bacterial SSU rRNA
Rfam family: Bacterial small subunit ribosomal RNA
Source: RNAcentral